RNAcentral lists this ribosomal RNA (509 nucleotides) under uncultured eukaryote. RNAcentral describes it as "eukaryotic LSU rRNA". It matches the Rfam family "Eukaryotic large subunit ribosomal RNA", at positions 670 to 1178 of the family's 3401-position model. The record is from RNAcentral.
GGAGUCUAACGCGCGCGCGAGCGAGAGGGCGAGAGGCCCAUCCGCGCAACGAAAGCGAAUGGCGGGACGCUCUCCCGCAGGGGGCGGCGCCGCCGGCCGGACGUCCUCGAGGCGGACCGAGCCGGAGCGCUCGCGUCGGGACCCGAAAGGUGGUGAUCUAUCCGUGCGCGCGGCGAAGCCGGGGGAAACCCCGGUGGAGGCCCGUCGACGGUACUGACGUGCAAAUCGUUCGUCCGACGUGCGAAUAGGGGCGAAAGACCAAUCGAACCUCCUAGUAGCUGGUUUCCGCCGAAAUUUUCCCCUCAGGAUAGCGGCCAUCGCGGAAACGUUUUGACCGGUAGAGCGAACGACUAGAGGUACCGGGGCCGUAACGGCCUCGACCUAUUCUCGAACUCCGAACGGGCAAGGAGCCGGGGUCGCCCGAUCGGACCCCGGACGUGAAGUCGACGAUGGUCGGUGGGCUGGUUUUGGUAAGCAGAACGGGCGAUUCGGGAUGAACCGGAAGCGGG